This 254-nucleotide ribosomal RNA is filed under the name uncultured bacterium. Its description in RNAcentral is "partial 16S ribosomal RNA". It matches the Rfam family "Bacterial small subunit ribosomal RNA", at positions 524 to 776 of the family's 1533-position model. The record is from RNAcentral.
UACGUAGGGUGCGAGCGUUGUCCGGAAUUAUUGGGCGUAAAGAGCUCGUAGGCGGUGUGUCACGUCGGCCGUGAAAACCUGCAGCUUAACUGUGGGCGUGCGGUCGAUACGGGCAUCACUGGAGUUCGGCAGGGGAGACUGGAAUUCCCGGUGUAGCGGUGAAAUGCGCAGAUAUCAGGAGGAGCACCGGUGGCGAAGGCGGGUCUCUGGGCCGAUACUGACGCUGAGGAGCGAAAGCGUGGGGAGCAAACAGG